GAGGGUCAAAGAAAGAGGGCUAGUUUUCUUGAAUAGAUUGCACAGACAAAAUUCAACAUCAUAUAUAUUCUUUUAAAUUUGCGUAAUUUUAAUAAAAUCCAUUUUUAAAUCCCAUUUGAUAGAUAGAGUUGUUUGAGAAAAGAAAAUCCAUGUAGAGCUUAAUUCUUUCCUUCUGUUUUUUUUUUCUUUCCUUUUUUUAUAUAUAUUAAAAUAGAAUAAACUUUGAUUCCAAUUAAAAUAUGAUCACAAAUUUCGCCACAAGGGCUGCUUGAUACAUAAAUAGUGGUCUGGUUAAAAUCUUACCUUAAAAGACUCUCAAAAGAGAAAAAUUCGGUCAAGAAAAAAGAAUACCACGCAUCUAGACCAAGCUAAAACAAAACGACCCCUCCAUAAUGCUAACAUAGGGAGAGUACUCAAACUAAUAGCGUACAUGCCUAACUUCUAAUGUAAAUGGAACAGUUGACAUAUAUUUGAGCCAACCUUAAAAUGAGCUAAAUUCUACAUUCACAUUAGAAAUAGGGCUUGGGACAAAAUCUAGUGCCUAUAUAUGACCGUCUCUAUGUUCAAUAUUAUUGGAAGUCUCGAUCCAGCAGAGACAAACGUCAAAGGUGUGAGGUCUAUUGAGUAUAGAUGUAUCAAGUUUUAGUUCACAUUCACUUCUGUUUUAUGAGAGAGAAUGUUA
This 682-nucleotide long non-coding RNA is filed under the name Prunus persica (peach). Its description in RNAcentral is "long non-coding RNA (PPER_LNC008475)". The record is from RNAcentral. Lineage: Eukaryota; Viridiplantae; Streptophyta; Magnoliopsida; Rosales; Rosaceae.